This is a long non-coding RNA of Lepidothrix coronata (blue-crowned manakin), 305 nucleotides long. RefSeq lists it as uncharacterized. The transcript is spliced from 3 exons. Lineage: Eukaryota; Metazoa; Chordata; Aves; Passeriformes; Pipridae. The record is from RefSeq and is a predicted model, not a curated record.
UUCAGUGGUCUGCUGAAUAAAGAGGUGCCUUUGUACUGCAGUCACCUCCAAUGCCUGGCUUUGGCCCAUUGGUGUGCAUGCAACUCCUGCCAGCCUCUCCCACCACCUCCUUCCCCUGGGUUUUUAGGAACCUGAGUGGGAUCUUGAUGCAAAGGGGAACUGAGCAACUCAUUAAAGAAGAAAUAUUCUGUACUCUGACAUCCUUAUGCACAUCCCACUUGUAAGAAACCACUGCAAUGUAAACGAUGAGGAAUUUGCAAUUCAGCCCAUCUAGACCCAACAUCAGCAUCUCUUCCUAUUGCACA